AUGUGCGUCGUGGUUGUGCGCGAGCGAUUUCAGGCGCGAUCUCCGUCGCUGUUGGUGUUGCGCCGUGACUAUGACCGGAGUUUUAAAGGCGCGGUUGUAUUCGAUCCAUUUUUCGUUUGUUCUUCCUUUUUUGAUUUGUUCCUGCAAAAGCAAAACUCUGUACAAGUUGUUAUAUUAAUGAAUUUGUUGUUGGAUGGCUUGUACUAUUGUUAA
Non-coding RNA from Vicia faba (fava bean), 213 nucleotides. The record is from the annotation of a GenBank genome assembly. Lineage: Eukaryota; Viridiplantae; Streptophyta; Magnoliopsida; Fabales; Fabaceae.